AUUGGAAGUGGCUGCCCAAGCUCUCUGCCCUCUUCUCUUAGAUAGUCAGAUAGACACGAGGCUCCUGAUGCUACUCAGGUGGGUCUGUCGGCCCUCUUCAUGUACCCCCACUCUGGUGCCUCUCACCAAGUUCCUGAAAAGGCAGGACUAUCUGCUGAGGAUGUUACCUCAGACUAGUUUACAAAGGCUUUGUAAUUACAGCAUCCAUCCUCUUGAGCAUGUCAGUCUCUUCCUAAGUCCCACUGAACCUAAAGGAUUAUUGCAACAAAAUUUGAGAGUUGAACAGCUCUGAGAUAAGUUCCAUAAAUUUUUAUGAAAAUUGGACAUUGAGUAAUGGAGAAGGAUGUGAUUAGCAUUUUCAGUUACAGAAAGGCAUACGGAGCUGGGGAUAUUGAGGUCAGGUAGAAGGAAUAGGGGAAGGUCUAGAAGAAGCCAGGAGGAAAAGAGUUGUCAGACAGGGAGAGGCAGGGAGGUGGAUCCUUACAUCAGCAGGGCAAGAGAAGGACUGUGUGUAUGCUGGAAACAAAUUCACAGGAAAGCAGGCUUCAUGAGUCCACUGGCUUAUGGAUCCUACCAGAACUCUGCAAAACCUAUUUGCUGAAAAGUACGCCAAGAGAAAUCACUCAUGAGCCUCGCCAGCCUGCACGCCUCCCAAGCUGCUCUCCCUCCUGCUGCCUCUGCUCAUGCCAGGUGACAGCCCAGCUCAGGAAGAAGCUUCAUUCUUCCAACCCUUUCUCAGAAGAACUCCUGCCCACACCAGAGAAAACCUGGUUUCAGACCCUGGUAUCCUCAGGGUGGUUGUUCUCCUGUGAGGAACAGCUGGAUGUGACAACGCAGAUGCUGGAAGCUUCCUGAGUGGUGGCCACAGGCCAUCCUGGCAGGAGUCAGGAGUCAACGGAGUCAGCAGAGCUUCACCGGUCUUUGCUCCUUGGGAUCUGACUCUCCAAUGCUAACAUGACUAUUUCCACAUGAGAAUGUGGCCAGGCCAACCCAAGGCGAAAAUACUACUUGGAGCAAAUGAAAACCGACGGGAGAAAUUGCAAUGAAAAAUUUUCAUUCAAGAUUUCUCUUGGGAUCCGUUCCUUUCUAGGGUGGCAACGCACACACACAGCUCCCUUCUCCUUGCAGCUUUGUUUAGCAUCUGUGGGAGCCUCUCAUCGGGAGCUUCAUAUGCGCGCUCAUGAGCACUCGGUGUUUGUGCUCUGUGUGUGCAAGCACCAACCACACGCUGGCGGGCAGCAGGCAUACACAUGUGGUCUAUGUUAAGAAAUGCAAGAAAUAAAGCCAAUUUUAGAUCAAGUGAGCUGUGGUCCCCUGGCUUGGCUUCUACCGCAGGUGAUACUAUAAACAAAGUUCUGUGCCAAUGUGAAAGAACAAAUACACUAUAAAUAGCUCGUGGCUUCCAAACCUCCUCGUCUUGUUCCAGCCCUCGUUCGAACCCAAGCCAGCAGAUGGGCUGAGAGCACUUCAAACUGGCUCCUUGAAAUAAAAUACUGGAAAUAAAGAGGAACAGCAUGGAGGCAGUAAAACAAAAUGGGAAAAGAAGGAGAGGGUGAAAGGCAUUAAUUUAUUGGGGAGAGUGCUGGAAACAUAUAAAAGCAGGAGAGGAAGGAAGAAAGGGGACAUCGUCCUGCCUGAUCACAAUUGUCAUUAACUUGCGGCAGAGGUAUUAAAUUGCAGCAUGGGUGCAAGUUCAUGCAGCCCACCUCCAACCCAAACCUCUUUGGCGUCCGACUCUUCCCUGUGUCGAGUGAUUUAAUGCACUGGCCCACA
RNAcentral lists this long non-coding RNA (1773 nucleotides) under Gallus gallus (chicken). Lineage: Eukaryota; Metazoa; Chordata; Aves; Galliformes; Phasianidae. The record is from RNAcentral.